Long non-coding RNA from Cyprinus carpio (common carp), 1686 nucleotides. RefSeq lists it as uncharacterized. The transcript has 2 exons. NCBI's taxonomy places the organism in Eukaryota, Metazoa, Chordata, Actinopteri, Cypriniformes, Cyprinidae. The record is from RefSeq and is a predicted model, not a curated record.
UUUUAUUGUUAACAUUAAUGAGAGAGACAUGCAGCUAUAUAAGACUAGGCUACUGUAAUGCACGGAUCUAGUACAAUAUUACACAUCAGACGUUUUCCCCCAACGGUUCCCCAAAUGUUCAUUACAGAUUAUGUUUGCGUGAAUACUUAAAUACUAUAAUUUUAUAUAUAUGUGUGUAUAUUUAUCGGGAUCGCGCGCGCUUCGGAUGACAGUCAGCGUGAGAAACGAAAAAAGUAAGCCUCAGAAAACCUACAAAUAAAAAUAAUUAAAUAUCUAAAAUUAUUAUUUGGAGCAUGGGGGAUCGCUAGACGACGCUUUAAUUAACUCAUUUUUGUGAAAACCUCAAAAUAGACAAUAUUCACCCCCAUUUUUUUAUGCCUGUAGCUCAGGAUUAGCCCGUGCGCAUUCCGACUCAUUGGCGUCAAAUAUGUAAAUUAAGUCGUGACGCAAUCUUCUCUAACGGUCGGUUUAAUCGAUUACAAUGUUGAAGUUGACAUUUGAGACUGAAAAAGGUCAGUAAAUCGACAGACGAGAUGACAGCCUACUCAAGAUUCAAGAAAAAAGUUCAUACCGGAGUUAAUUCAAGCUCCGUUUCCUUCAUCAACCACAAGAGAGCGACAACCAUCUGAAAGUCGCUAAAGCUUAAGCGUCUUCAGUCAGUGACCGAUGAAAACCAUGAAAGGCAUUCAACGCUUCACGUCUCGCAAAGGAUCAUCUUUCAGGUAACUAACGUCAAACAACACAGACAGGUUAUAUAUAUAAAAAAAUGAACCGAACAACUACAUUUUAAUAAAAACAAAAAAAUACAAGAAAAAACAAAAUGGUUCCAUCUAAUGAGAAAUGCAUCAGGUGGUUGAGUAAAUAAAGAAUCGACAAAUAGUCAAAUUUCAGUAAAAAUGAGGCCGUUUAUUGUUAAGUUUAGAUAAUAUUUAGGACCAGAAGUCUCCUACCACAUGGCGCUGAAGCAUGUAUAAAACAAAUAAAAUCACUUUCCCCAUGCUUGAAGGUAAAAGGCCACUACAACUCUAGUACAACACCACAUUGCAUUUCAGGUUGAUGGGUAAAUUCAGAUGUUGUGGCUCAUACGAUCUUCAGUCAAAACCACAGGUAGGCACGCACUCACAGGGACAGUGGUAAUAAUGCUGAAAUUGGUUUCCAUUGUGGGAAUCAUUAAAGCAAAUUAAAUGUAUAUAAAAAUAGUCUUUCUAACUUCCAUGAGGAACAGUUCAGAAUGUUACAUCAACUUGACAGAGACAUUUGUUUCCUUCUCAUGUUCUAGUUUCUAUAACCCCAAGGCAUUUCUAUUGCAUAACAAACAAAACGACAGUGUUUCCAUCUUUUGUGGUCAGUACAGAGCACCCCUGCUCAGACUAAAGAAUAAAAAAAACAAAAAAAAAACACACAGAUUCUCAUAUACCUGGGUGCUGUGUUUAAAGUGCCAGUGAAAAGAACUUCAGGCCAUUUCAUUAGUACAAAUAAUGCUAAAAACAGUAAAUGGAUGAAACUCACAAAGCAUGUCUAAAACGUGUGUAUUUGUUUGCAUUUCACCCAAAUUUUAAAAUCAAGUUCACAUUUUAGUACAUAAAGAAAAUCAAGCAUUUUUUAAGACCAUUACUUUUUUUUUGCAUUCUAACAGUAUGAUAAUUAAACAUCUCCCAAACAUUCUCAUUACUGCAGUGAAAAUAU